GCGGCGGUAGCGUAGUGGUUACGCACCACCUUGCCAAGGUGGGUCACGCGGGUCCGAUUCCCGUCCGCCGCU
RNAcentral lists this transfer RNA (72 nucleotides) under Spirochaetales bacterium. RNAcentral's name for it is "tRNA-Gly". It matches the Rfam family "tRNA". From Rfam's summary of the family: Transfer RNA (tRNA) molecules are approximately 80 nucleotides in length. Their secondary structure includes four short double-helical elements and three loops (D, anti-codon, and T loops). Further hydrogen bonds mediate the characteristic L-shaped molecular structure. tRNAs have two regions of fundamental functional importance: the anti-codon, which is responsible for specific mRNA codon recognition, and the 3' end, to which the tRNAs corresponding amino acid is attached (by aminoacyl-tRNA synthetases). tRNAs cope with the degeneracy of the genetic code in two manners: having more than one tRNA (with a specific anti-codon) for a particular amino acid; and 'wobble' base-pairing, i.e. permitting non-standard base-pairing at the 3rd anti-codon position. RNAcentral also lists the same sequence under 3 other names. Lineage: Bacteria; Pseudomonadati; Spirochaetota; Spirochaetia; Spirochaetales. The record is from RNAcentral.